Molecule: transfer RNA, 74 nt
Filed under: Marmota monax (woodchuck)
Lineage: Eukaryota; Metazoa; Chordata; Mammalia; Rodentia; Sciuridae
Description: tRNA.Ala
Source: RNAcentral
UUUGGGAUGCAGCUCACUGGUAGAGUGUUUGCCUAGCAUGUGCAAGGCCCUAGGUUCAAUUCAUGGUGCCAAAA